UCCUCUGGAUUAGUGGCGAACGGGUGAGUAACACGUGAGCAAUCUGCCCUUGACUCUGGGAUAAGCGCUGGAAACGGCGUCUAAUACCGGAUACGACCCUCGGAGGCAUCUCCUGUGGGUGGAAAGAACUUCGGUCAAGGAUGAGCUCGCGGCCUAUCAGCUUGUUGGUGAGGUAAUGGCUCACCAAGGCGACGACGGGUAGCCGGCCUGAGAGGGUGACCGGCCACACUGGGACUGAGACACGGCCCAGACUCCUACGGGAGGCAGCAGUGGGGAAUAUUGCACAAUGGGCGCAAGCCUGAUGCAGCAACGCCGCGUGAGGGACGACGGCCUUCGGGUUGUAAACCUCUUUUAGCAGGGAAGAAGCGAGAGUGACGGUACCUGCAGAAAAAGCACCGGCUAACUACGUGCCAGCAGCCGCGGUAAUACGUAGGGUGCAAGCGUUGUCCGGAAUUAUUGGGCGUAAAGAGCUCGUAGGCGGUCUGUCGCGUCUGCUGUGAAAACCCGAGGCUCAACCUCGGGCUUGCAGUGGGUACGGGCAGACUAGAGUGCGGUAGGGGAGAUUGGAAUUCCUGGUGUAGCGGUGGAAUGCGCAGAUAUCAGGAGGAACACCGAUGGCGAAGGCAGAUCUCUGGGCCGUAACUGACGCUGAGGAGCGAAAGCGUGGGGAGCAAACAG
This 678-nucleotide ribosomal RNA is filed under the name Agrococcus sp. RNAcentral describes it as "bacterial SSU rRNA". It matches the Rfam family "Bacterial small subunit ribosomal RNA", at positions 83 to 775 of the family's 1533-position model. Lineage: Bacteria; Bacillati; Actinomycetota; Actinomycetes; Micrococcales; Microbacteriaceae. The record is from RNAcentral.